This 3913-nucleotide long non-coding RNA is filed under the name Cucumis sativus (cucumber). RNAcentral's name for it is "long non-coding RNA (CSAT_LNC001469)". The record is from RNAcentral. Lineage: Eukaryota; Viridiplantae; Streptophyta; Magnoliopsida; Cucurbitales; Cucurbitaceae.
GGAUAUGUGGCUAUAUGAGAUAUAGACACCUAGCCCACUAAGUUCCACUAAUUGUUAGUGGAAUAUUAGGUGUUGAGAUUUGGCAAUUGAAUUGCAUGCAUUUUUGCAUGUAAUUAGGCUAUAAAUAGAGAUGUUUUCAAAUGUUGAAGGACUUUUGCCUCUUUUAUCAUUUUCAUAAUCUCAACAAAAGAAGAAAAAAACUUCCAAUCUCAUUUUAUCUCCAUUAUUUUCUACACCAAAAUUGGGUCCCACAACCCGGUUCUUUGUCUAGAGGAUAGCAGUUGAGUACUAGUGGUGGUCUCGGGUAGAAUUGGUAAGAAGACAUCAAACCUUUUGUAAGCUUCAAAGGUAAUACUUCUUAAAACCCUAAUUUGAUUAGUUUAUGGUUACAUGUUAAUUGUGGCAAUUAGGGUAGAAAUUCGAUUCUUUUUCCGCUGUGCAUGACUUAGUUCUAUCAGGAGAAAUCUAAACGUAUACAAAUAUUUCCAUUGAUCCAAUUGUGCAUAACGUGUUUUCCAAGGCAAUCAAUGUUUUUCCUUCAAUAUGCACAUUUAACAUCAUAUAAAGCAUUGCAAACAUAUGAUUGGAUUGUUCCUAAAUUAAAGACACGUUUAAAAGUUCAGAAACCAUGUAUAAGAACGCACAUACAAGAGUUUACACACUGUGUGAAAUUCGAUUGCAACUAGUGUGGGAGAUGUAGAGAAAAAGAUAUGAGAUUUUUCUUGAUCCCUUCAAUUAUGUUUUAUUUUAUAUAAAUAACAUUUGAAACUAUAUGCAAUGGCAUGCUCUAGCUAAACCAUGCAUUAAUAUUUCAUUUCAAAAUAUCUUUUCUAGUUCCAAGGAAAGCACAUAUUAUAAGUUCCAGUGUCUUUUGGGUGCAUCAAACAAGGGCCAUCUCGAUAAAUUUCCCACGAGCAAUUAGUGCAACGAUUCAUGUCCCUGUGAAAGUUAUAGAUGGUGAAGUUGUGCAUCUCGCCUUGCACAAAUUCAAAGCCGCAAGUAAAUUCUGUUGUGCCCCAAAUAUUAGGUUUAAAGUGAAAGGAGUAACUACGUCCAGACUCAAGGGAAUGGACUCCCAAGUCAUCGUCCUUUGACCUACAGUGAACGCCUAGCACUGGGCCAGCCAAUUUAUUAAUAGUGGUCACUGUUGUUUCAGGUGGACCAAUUGAGAUUAAUUCUUCAUCAGCAUAUAGCGUGAUGAAAAGUAUUUGUAAAACCAAGAAUGCAAGUGCCAACGAGGAAUUCAUUAUGCUUUCGAAUCGAGAGAGAAAGAUAAGUAAUGUCCAAAGGACUAUGCUUUUCUUUUGUUGUUGGACACAAUGGAAUGUUUCGAAACAUCACACAGACAUAUAUAGGAGAGUAAAGGAAUACAAAUCUUUUUUCAAAUGGUUAAAUGGUAAUUUUGUGAUCGUUAUGCAACUUUUCAUUUUAGAAGCAGGAACCGCGAUAGUUUGAAUCAAAUGGUGAAAGAGCGCAUUAAACAACUACAUAUUGGUAGUGACAUUCCACAAUUAAUAAAAGAAAAAGAAAAUAAGUUGUAAAACAAUUCACGAAAUGAUUGUUAUGUUUAACCACAUGAGGUUAAUUUUUACAUCCCAACUCAACACUAUUCCUUUUCCGUUUGUUUUGUCUUCUCUUUUUCUUCAAGUUACGUACUAAUAAGGAUGGUUGGAAGACAAUAAAUUAGGGAAAGAGUGUGGGUUUAGGUUACAUUUCAGCAUUUAGUUAAAUUAUAGGUUGAUACGCUUUUUAAUUUGUAUUGUGUAUAUACAAAAUAACAUAUCUUGUUGUUGGUAUUUUAUUAAUGCCACAUCAAAUUUCUAAUUAGGAGAUUCUUCAACCUGUAUGUUUAGUUAGUCCGUGCUUGGAUUGGAAUGUUGGGUUGAUUAAUUUAAAUCUUAAAAUAAUAAUUGUAUCGAUUUAAAUCCUAAACUUCGCCGGGUGUAUCAAUUUAAACCUCAACUAAACUAAUAAUAGUAUCGAUUUGAACAUUGCACUUCAAUUAGUCUAUCAUUCACCUCCUCUUCAACUUCUUCCCCCCCUCUUCCUCCCCUUACCAUCAUGCAAACGUUUAACAUGAAACAUCUUUACCAACACAUUUUUCAAUGUGCAUCACUCAAGCAAAAUGAAAUACAUCGUCCGACAUAAAAGAUAGGUGGUAACUUAAUUAUUUCCAUUAGAUGUUGUUCACCAUCACAUUCGAUUAAUAUAUAUGUAUAUACAUAAACGAUCUGUAACUGUGUGCUUGCUUGCCAAUAUUUUCCUUCGCUGCCUUGUGGGGCAUAAAACAAAAUAUUUUGAGGUUACACCAAAACGGUCUAGUGAGUGGAGGUUUUCAUCAACACAUUUAAUAGAACACACUCUCGCCAUAACGCAUUACAAAAGUUCUUUCCACAACACCACGCAAUAUAAAUAAGUACGCAUUUCAAUAGAAAUAUGAGUUUAAAUUGGAAAAUCAUUCCGCUGCGUUUGGCGAUUUACACAUUCAAAUCUCAUUGGCAAAUAUUCAUAGCAACCCAUUUCCUUGCAAAUUCAUUUCAUCAUAAAAUCACAUCGCAUGGGAGAGCAUUUCGCAUAACAAUUUCCAUCUUUCGUACCAUGCUAAGCUCAAGAGUCAACACGCUCUUAUCGCUGAGUUGCAGCUGUACGGAGAAAUCUAAACGUAUACAAAUAUUUCCAUUGAUCCAAUUGUGCAUAACGUGUUUUCCAAGGCAAUCAAUGUUUUUCCUUCAAUAUGCACAUUUAACAUCAUAUAAAGCAUUGCAAACAUAUGAUUGGAUUGUUCCUAAAUUAAAGACACGUUUAAAAGUUCAGAAACCAUGUAUAAGAACGCACAUACAAGAGUUUACACACUGUGUGAAAUUCGAUUGCAACUAGUGUGGGAGAUGUAGAGAAAAAGAUAUGAGAUUUUUCUUGAUCCCUUCAAUUAUGUUUUAUUUUAUAUAAAUAACAUUUGAAACUAUAUGCAAUGGCAUGCUCUAGCUAAACCAUGCAUUAAUAUUUCAUUUCAAAAUAUCUUUUCUAGUUCCAAGGAAAGCACAUAUUAUAAGUUCCAGUGUCUUUUGGGUGCAUCAAACAAGGGCCAUCUCGAUAAAUUUCCCACGAGCAAUUAGUGCAACGAUUCAUGUCCCUGUGAAAGUUAUAGAUGGUGAAGUUGUGCAUCUCGCCUUGCACAAAUUCAAAGCCGCAAGUAAAUUCUGUUGUGCCCCAAAUAUUAGGUUUAAAGUGAAAGGAGUAACUACGUCCAGACUCAAGGGAAUGGACUCCCAAGUCAUCGUCCUUUGACCUACAGUGAACGCCUAGCACUGGGCCAGCCAAUUUAUUAAUAGUGGUCACUGUUGUUUCAGGUGGACCAAUUGAGAUUAAUUCUUCAUCAGCAUAUAGCGUGAUGAAAAGUAUUUGUAAAACCAAGAAUGCAAGUGCCAACGAGGAAUUCAUUAUGCUUUCGAAUCGAGAGAGAAAGAUAAGUAAUGUCCAAAGGACUAUGCUUUUCUUUUGUUGUUGGACACAAUGGAAUGUUUCGAAACAUCACACAGACAUAUAUAGGAGAGUAAAGGAAUACAAAUCUUUUUUCAAAUGGUUAAAUGGUAAUUUUGUGAUCGUUAUGCAACUUUUCAUUUUAGAAGCAGGAACCGCGAUAGUUUGAAUCAAAUGGUGAAAGAGCGCAUUAAACAACUACAUAUUGGUAGUGACAUUCCACAAUUAAUAAAAGAAAAAGAAAAUAAGUUGUAAAACAAUUCACGAAAUGAUUGUUAUGUUUAACCACAUGAGGUUAAUUUUUACAUCCCAACUCAACACUAUUCCUUUUCCGUUUGUUUUGUCUUCUCUUUUUCUUCAAGUUACGUACUAAUAAGGAUGGUUGGAAGACAAUAAAUUAGGGAAAGAGUGUGGUUUAGGUUACAUUUCAGCAUUU